Molecule: long non-coding RNA, 763 nt
Filed under: Homo sapiens (human)
Lineage: Eukaryota; Metazoa; Chordata; Mammalia; Primates; Hominidae
Description: HSALNT0318809
Source: RNAcentral
UUCUAGUUAGCUAACAGGAGGAUAAAACAGGCCAAGCCUUCACCUAUUCACGGCACAUAGAACAAGAAAGAAAAAACAGUGGCCGUACAGUUUCCAUUGUUCCCCCCAAAUGUCUGUAUGUCAUUUAUUACCUUGGUUUUGUUUGGCAGGGAUGUUGUUGUUGCCUUUCACAUGCUUUCGAUCUAGACUAAUCUCGGCACUCAGAUGUCCCUUUGGCCUCACAGAGUAGGAUGCCUGGAAUCAGAACAAGCCGUGGAGUGCAAAGAAAUUCCUCAGUCAUGACUACAUUAUUUUGUUCUUCGUAUCAAAAGCAAGCUAGGUGAGAGAAUUCAUUCAUCUUUUACCACACUGCAAGGGACAGAGGCAAUUUUUCUCCCAGGAUUCAGGACUAAAGUAGAUGAUCUUCUGGACUUCUCUGUGACAUUUCACUGAAAUUGCAUUUCACCGAAAACAAACAAGCAAACAAAAAUCUUCCUUUUGAGAAGAUAAUCCCCAGAAGUUAAAAGAAAGAGUAGUAGUCCAGUUGGAAGUUGCAAAAAAAUUGUCCAGUAAGUGCUGAUGUUUACGGAUGUCACCGUCACCCAGGGUUGCUGUUUCCCCUGGACAGCCGGGUUCAACUUCUUUCUGAAGAUCCCCCUUUUAGUGGCUUUUCACUGAUGUCUGUGAGGGGUAAACUCUCUCAGUCAAGAAUGGAUCCAUUUUCAAGACUAUUUAUUCAUUCAUUCAUUCAUUCAUUCAUUCAGAGAUAGGGUCUCACUCUGUC